Molecule: long non-coding RNA, 528 nt
Filed under: Papio anubis (olive baboon)
Lineage: Eukaryota; Metazoa; Chordata; Mammalia; Primates; Cercopithecidae
Description: lncRNA (ENSPANG00000039428.1)
Source: RNAcentral
CACAGGCAGCAUAGCCAGGAAGGAAACCAACAGGUGCUGGCCGUGAUCACUGGCCUGGCCCCAGGACCUGGCUGCAUACUUCGUGUGCCUCAGAAGUCACAGCUUCUACCUGAGUUUGUAGGCUGCCACCAGUCUCCAACGUCUACAGCCAGCAUAUCCAGGUCACCCUCCCUUGUCAGUACAUUUGGAUUGAACCCACUGUACAGGAGCAGCAUGGUAGGACGGCUGACCUGCAAUGCAGAAACCAUCAUCGUGGUUCGUUCUCUUCCUGAGUCCCUCCAGCUGGGGCACCUGACUCGUCAUUCAUCUGUAUGUGCCUGUCUUCCCUCCUUCCCCAGCUCCUGUUGAGGACAGGGGUGCCUUGCUCAUCGGCCUGAACAGAAAUGAGCUACAGGGAUCACCUGUCAAUCACGGUGGCUUCUUAGAAUGCCCAUUUGGGCAUUCCCUCAAAUAAAUGGCAACUGAAACCCUAUUGUGACUGAGUAGUUAUGCUUCAGAAAUUGUCCUCAUUCCUUUUUUGUGUUAUCC